Molecule: unclassified non-coding RNA, 656 nt
Filed under: uncultured Rhizopogon
Lineage: Eukaryota; Fungi; Basidiomycota; Agaricomycetes; Boletales; Rhizopogonaceae
Description: sequence contains ITS1, 5.8S rRNA gene and ITS2
Rfam family: 5.8S ribosomal RNA (bases 208-362)
Source: RNAcentral
GGUUGUCGCUGGCCCUCGCUCGCGCGAGGCAUGUGCACGCUUCUCGUUUUUCUCUCAACUCACCUGUGCACCUAAUGUAGGAUGCCUCUCCUCCGGGAGGGGGGACCUAUGUCUUCAUAACAUCUUCGUGUAGAAAGUCUUUGAAUGUUUACUAUCAUCGAGUCGCGACUUCUAGGAGACGCGAUUCUUUGAGAUAAAAGUUAUUACAACUUUCAGCAACGGAUCUCUUGGCUCUCGCAUCGAUGAAGAACGCAGCGAAAAGCGAUAUGUAAUGUGAAUUGCAGAUCUACAGUGAAUCAUCGAAUCUUUGAACGCACCUUGCGCUCCUCGGUGUUCCGAGGAGCAUGCCUGUUUGAGUGUCAGUAAAUUCUCAACCCCUCUCGAUUAGCUUCGAGAGGGCGUUUGGAUAGUGGAGGUUGCCGGAGACUUGGAUUCGUCCGAGACUCGGGCUCUUCUGAAAUGCAUCGGCUUGCGGUCGACUUUCGACUAUGUGCGACAAGGCUUUCGGCGUGAUAAUGAUCGCCGUUCGCUGAAGCGCAUGACUGAACGUCCCGUGCCUCUAAUACGUCGACCGCUUAUUAUCUCUCCGGAGAGAACAGGGUCUUCCUAAUUGACUUUUGACCUCAAAUCAGGUAGGACUACCCGCUGAACUUAAG